UUAAAUCAAAUUUGUAUGGAUUUGGAACGUUUGCCUACGUUUGCCGCUAGGGGCGCUGUUCCAACUAUAUGAGUUACUUUUA
This 82-nucleotide microRNA precursor is filed under the name Bombyx mori (domestic silkworm). RNAcentral's name for it is "mir-2807 microRNA precursor family". It matches the Rfam family "mir-2807 microRNA precursor family". The record is from Rfam by way of RNAcentral. Lineage: Eukaryota; Metazoa; Arthropoda; Insecta; Lepidoptera; Bombycidae.